This is a long non-coding RNA of Ctenopharyngodon idella (grass carp), 1154 nucleotides long. RefSeq lists it as uncharacterized. Lineage: Eukaryota; Metazoa; Chordata; Actinopteri; Cypriniformes; Xenocyprididae. The transcript is spliced from 2 exons. The record is from RefSeq and is a predicted model, not a curated record.
UACAGCAACUACACGCCUUAUAGCCAGGAAAAAUGAAUGAAACGAAGCAAUUAGUGUUGAUAACACGCAGUCAAGGCGACUCAAAACACCACCAGCUUUGAUUUUCUGUCACAAGGCAAUUUAUAGGCGAUUAUCUUAGAACAUUACGAAGAAACAACAGACAGAAAUGUCUAAAAGCAGCCUUACUCAAGAAGAAAAUUAGCUCAGUUAAAGCUGACACAGUCUGGAUCUUUCAGUAGUAAAAACGUCAGCAUCUCUGUUAUUGGUAUAUUAAAUGUUUCUUCUGUUGACGCCAUUGAAAAGAUAUGACUUACCUGUAGGCUACACGAGACUUACGAGAGAACUCGAAGAAAAAUCUCGUCGCUGUAUUUCACAUCAGUCACUCCGACUUGAGAGCUAAGGGUCCUGCGGAUAUGCAACGACAUUACGGUGAGUAAAUAAUUUUUCAUUUUGAAUAACUUUUUUAGUCAUUUUGUACCCAUUAAAGAUAAUUUCACAUAAUACUCAUUUUACAGUAUACAGUAACCUACAUACAACCAAUAGCAUGAUAGGCCUAAGUGCUUUCCACCCAUUCACUGACUAAAACUUUCUUCACAUGGAAAGUUGAGGUUCAGUAUAGGGCUAAGGAAGACAUACAGUAGCCCUGUGGCUCUCAGGUUAAACCUGCACCAUAAUUUUUCAGAUCAGUGUUUGUUUUUCUUGGGUUUUCUUCUCCUCACGCACAUCUCCCCUCUGCACACUUCUCUGCCUACUUUUUCCUUUUGGAGGACGGCUGUGGAUGGUGCCGCGGCUGUCAUCCGGCAAAGCUGCUUUAUUGCAGGUCGGGGGUCUGGGCUCUUCCUCAAGCCUUCAAUCCCUCAUUUCCACAAGCUGAAAACAAGAAAUAUAGAGCCUCUGGAAGGAAUCGCCACUGGAAGCUCAUAACCAUAAAUACUCCCACAAUAUUUAUGUUGUUGCUUUUCUCAUCAAUUUUAAUUUUUUUUAUUCACGAGACAGUUGAGGUUACAGUGUUCUGUCAAGGAAAGUACAGAAUUUUGAACAAUCUUUUACCUCCCAGAUUUUUAUCAAUGCCUUCUACACCAUGAUGGUAUAAAUUAACUAUGUCAAACAAAUGGUCCUAAUAUAUCAAUAAAUAAUUAUUAUAAUAGCUGAAA